RNAcentral lists this transfer RNA (76 nucleotides) under Terrisporobacter mayombei. RNAcentral's name for it is "tRNA-Ala". It matches the Rfam family "tRNA". Rfam says of the family: Transfer RNA (tRNA) molecules are approximately 80 nucleotides in length. Their secondary structure includes four short double-helical elements and three loops (D, anti-codon, and T loops). Lineage: Bacteria; Bacillati; Bacillota; Clostridia; Peptostreptococcales; Peptostreptococcaceae. The record is from RNAcentral.
GGGGGUGUAGCUCAGCUGGGAGAGCACUUGCCUUGCACGCAAGGGGUCAGGAGUUCAAUCCUCCUCAUCUCCACCA